RNAcentral lists this long non-coding RNA (1415 nucleotides) under Orbicella faveolata. Its description in RNAcentral is "uncharacterized LOC110045061, transcript variant X1". The record is from RNAcentral. Lineage: Eukaryota; Metazoa; Cnidaria; Anthozoa; Scleractinia; Merulinidae.
CCACCACCACAAGGUGGCAAUCUAAUUCGGGGGAGAGACGUCACCUUAGUAUGAGGUUUUAGACUCGCGUUUUGAACGCCGUCAAGAGGUAGGUUUUCACAUAAGUCAUUUGCCUCACACUUUAUUGCCUUGAAUUUUAUUUUAUCAGUGCCACGUACAAAUGCUGAAAUGUAAUAAAGUAACCCUUUUUCUACAGAUUGGUUAUACUUUUUAGGCAAAACCAAAUAAGCAAUUACCUAGACUUUUGUUGCUGUUUGUAGAGAGGAACUGAUCCGGAGUGGAAAUCCAAUAUCGCGGCGGCUUAAGUUGAAUGUGUGUUUUAUGGUCGAUACUUUAUUUCCAUAGAAAGCUACACAUGCUAGAGAACCUACUCUUUUGCAAACGUCUAACCUCAAACUGCAGUUAGAAGUUUGCGGUAAACGUGGAUCUAAAGAUUUCUAUUGAUCUCGUAUUACUCCCCACAGGUACGCAAUCCCACUAGAAUACGUGGAAUAAAAUUUAUGAAUUUUGUCUGGCGCGGCAGAUGAACGACGUUUGAAUCGCUGCUGUGCCAGAGUUGUGUAGUAUGGCAGAGCUUUGCCUAACUUAAGUCAAAAGUUUGAUUCAGACGCCGUACUUCUGCCGUGCUUUUGUUGAAUAUAUUCCUGACUUUAGUUCGGCACGGCUGAAGCACGUCUGAACUGGGCCUUAGGGGCCUCAGUUACUUUGUCGAAAGUCGGUCAGUCCGUCCGUCCAUCCAUCAGACAGUCAGUCGGUCAGUCAGUCUGUCUGCACUGUCCGUCUGUCGGUGUUAGGGACAUGGUUUGUUGUUACUUGUGAUCGCCCUACCCAAAGGUAUUAAAUAAUUUUUUGGUCAUUUAUAUAAGGUCGGUUGGUCGUUCGUUUGUUACUCUUUGUUUAGCCCUAGUUUUAACUCAGUUGUUCGCAGAUUUGUAUUGCAAAGGAUUUAAUUGGGAGCUCUCACUACUCACUACGUACCUUUCAGGCAAAUAGAGGAAACAUUAAAACCUGCCACCAGAAUCAUUUUCUUAUUAGCGGAUUUGUAGAUUUCCUUCCUUCAGUUAUUUCACGACCUUACUGCUUGGGUUUGAGGCUUAAGGUUCUCUUGUUUGUUGUUGAUUGCAAACUAAAUAUUUCAAGAAACAACGCACCACUUUAGGCUCCAGAAGGCAGCACAGGACAGCUAUAGGAAGAAAGUCAGGCUAUGAAGAGCAGUUAGAACAGGUCUCAACAGAAGGAGCGGCCUUCACUGAUCAGCGUUCUAAACUCUUUGAAGAGUGUCCAUCCUUACGACAAUCCCAUCGAUGAGGGUCCAAGCUUCUGUGAGGAUGAUCAAUACUACGACAGUAUAGACGCCAUAAUCCUUCGUCCUUUACUGGCCAACGUGGAGGGUGCUGUAGCAAAACUACCUGUCA